Molecule: long non-coding RNA, 4330 nt
Organism: Zootoca vivipara (common lizard)
Lineage: Eukaryota; Metazoa; Chordata; Lepidosauria; Squamata; Lacertidae
Source: RefSeq, a predicted model, not a curated record
UGUAUAUAAACAGUGGGAGGAGAAAGGUGAUCAUUCCAAACUCGUCUUUUAGAGGCCAAUGUUCAGCAAGAAGACUUCUCUCCUUUCCACUGCCUUACGGAGAGAGUUUUUAUGAGUCAAGGCUUGUUUCGGAUAAGAUGAGCUGAAGCUAAAAAUGGGGGUGUCUUCACAUUGUAGACAGUGAAUGCUGAAAAAGUGACAGUGAACUGAAUUUGUAAAGGAAACACACCACAGGUGAAAUCCCUCCUAGCAGCUGGCUUAUGAAAUAAUGCGAGGGGAGGCCUUAAUGAGCUGAAAGCACCCUCAGCUGGAGAUAAAUAUAUGCAAAUGAGAUGCACAAACAAAGGCGCCUGGACAGAGAAAUAUCUGCAAUUCCAGCAAAAUGCUGCCUGCAGCUAGAAGAUGAACAGCUUUGAUAAAAUGGUAACAGAAAGCACCUUUUUUAUCCUGCAGCUUGUUUUACAUUGCAAUAGACCAUUGUCAUUGUGACCCAUCUAAGCAGGCAGAGGUUGGAUGCGAGGGGGGGACGACGACUCUUUAAACACUUGUUUUUAAGACAUUCAUGAAAUAUAACCAAUGUGCUUAUUUCGUUUUGGAAAUGGGUAUUUAUUUAUUUUCACGCUGGAGGUGGUCAGGUUUAUUUUACCUAUUCUUUGAGGACACUGCAUUCAAUACUGUGUUGUUUUUGGUAUAUUUCACCUGCCGGAAAAUGUUGCUGCCUAAGGAAGAUUAAUUUGUCGUUUGAGAUUUUACUGGGAGAAAACUCCAAGUGGGAUCAGCAUUAGGGUGAGAGAAGGUGUGGAGAAAGCAGACACUUAAAACGUUUGCGGAAAAGCACCCCAAAACAGGCAGCAUUAAUGAAGGCAAUCACAUCUCUAAAUUCAAAGACAGACAUGUAACAUGCUGAUUUUAAUAAGCUUUUAAAGGCAAUCUCUAACUUUUUUUAAGGCUUCCUUUGCGAUGUGAUUGUUUGGGAUUCAUAUAUUGCCAAACACAUUCACUUAAAUAUGUUUCCAAUGCAUAUGGUGGAAGUACCAUAUCUUUAAGAAAACGUGUUGGUUUAACGUCUGAACUUUUUGCAGAUUUAAGGACAUGAUCAGAACAGUGCAGUUAUAUCUCUGCAUUACUGAGCCAUGUAAAGUUUAACUUUAGCACAUCUAUUUUUGGUUAGCAAUUUAUGAUAUUUAAAUCCUCUUUGGAUAUAAAAAUAUAAUCUAGAAGCUUGUAAAAAAAAGGUUGCAUGAAUCAGUAAUGUAUAAAUCUAAAAACAAAAUAUCUAACCUUGUAAACUGAUACUUUUAUAUGGACUUAUUCAUUCAGGAAUUGUCUUUCAUUUUUUUUGUACGGUACAUAGAAAAAAAAUCAUUUUAAAGAAUUCUUAUAAAGUCUGGGUGUUUGCAGCUGCUACUAGGAAAGUUCCAAAUUUUGGAGUCUCAUAUCAUUCUCCCCACCACCACCAAACAUUUAGUUAUCUGUUUGGGAGAGCUUCAUUUUUUUUAAAAAAAAAUACAGUCAUAUAGAUACAGAUGAAAAUAAGUAUUUCCAUGUGCCUUGUGACUGUGUGCAUGUGUACACAUGUAUGUAAUAUUUUUAUAGCAUACAAUACUCUUUUAUUAAUCCGAGUUUCGGUGUCUUUGGAGCCUCAAGAGUUAAACGGAGCCUGGGUGUAUUAAGAAGGAUUUCUCCUCCCACCCAGGUUCGAAGCGGCUGCAUUAUUGCAUUCGGUUGCUGUUGUUUGGAAAGGGCAAACAGCAUCUUAGGCACAGAACGAUGAAAUUACAGCUGAGAUUUAGGUUAGCAAAAGCAGCCUUCCGCAGGCUUUUAUGAUUCAUUAUUUCCCAUUAAAUACAGUAUUAGGAAUGUACACCAGAUAGCUCAUGGUUGCUGCUCUCAGAGCACAUUAUCUAUAUUACACAGGCCUGGGGAGCAGAAUUAGAAAACUUUUGGGGAAUGAGCAAUAUGUGUUUGCUGAUAGAAGUACCAUAUGGCUCAUCUUCAUCAAUUGCUUUCAUUGCGACUCGGAUGCUGAAGAAAUUAAAGUUUUAUUUGAUGUGGCACAGCUUAAUGAACUGUCUUCUGUUAGGAAAAUUGAAUAUGUUUCCUGUUAUUUGAGUGCAGAGCCCUCAUGGUUUGCGGCUGAUGAGGGAUGCAUUAUGAAUUGUUUAUUUAGCAUCUUAUAAACAAAAGAAAAAAUCCUGAAGAAAAAAAUUGUUUUGCAUUGAAGUUAUAUUUUCAAAUUUUUAUCCGUGUAUUGCUUUACCUCGUCAUCCUCGGGUUCAAUUUAUUGCCUGCUUAUUAUUUAAAUGCCAGAAUGAUUGUACAUUUUAAAAUGGUCUUUGAUAUACUAUGUAUCUUGUCUAAUUCCCACAUUAUCAUUUUAAAGGCAUAUGGAAUCACCAUUAGUAAGAAGGAAACACAUCUUAUCAGUUUGAUUUGCUUAACUUUUGAUGACGCUGUUCCCAUCCCAAUACCAUUGAGGACUUUUAAAUGCUUCAGCAGUUUGUGUUGAGAUCUGGUUUCUGUGAACAUAAAUGCCAAAAUUGGGACAAAGGGAAAAAUCUAAAUGACUGUCCACAGAACUCUGAAAAUGCCUGAAGAUUUUCUAAAGGAGAUAUCUGUGGAUUGCGUGGCAUUGUUAUAAAGUUACACCAAGCUGCUGGUGGCAACAUGGUCAAAAUGGUAAGGGAAUAUACUGUAAUGAAAAUGUGAACUAUUAUCCGAUGGUCUCUUUCCAUUCAGGUUAAUUAAGUUCCAGAAAAAGAGAACUUAGACAGCGAUGAAUUUGGCACAAAAACUGUAAAUAUAAGAUGUUUAAAAUGAUGGGAAGCAAUGAAACACAAAAGAUAACGUUUGACAUUUGUAGCAAAGUUGUAUAUUACGGUAGUUAAGUCACUAAUUAGUGGUUCAACAUAGACAUGUUUUAAUUUGGGGGAGGGGGAGAGGCAUUUGAAUAACUCUGGAAAUUUUCCAAGGUCUUUGAGAAUCAGCUUUGAUCAAAGAAGAGGAAUCCCCCUCCUUCUCCUAAAGCUUUUCUGUACUUGCAUAUCAACCAUAAAUAAAUAAACUUUAAAAAUAAAAAUGUUUAGAUGAGCCCAUUUUUCCACAUCUUGCAACACUCGAGAGUUAUUUUUUCCAAAUGCAAAAAGCUAUUUGUCACUUGCCUCUUCCGGCUUUUAAUUAUUUAUUUUAUUUUUGAUGGAAUCUGGCAAAUACUACCGUUAUACAAAUUCUGCUGGAAUCAAAAUACUAUCCGUUAAAAGAACACUUUCUGUUAUGUUUAUAGUAUUUAUGCCAAAAUUUGCAGCUUUUGCUCAGGGAAAACUUUUACGACUGACAUCGCAAGGCAGUUCAUAUGAGGCGUGUCUUUGUCUUUUGCUGAAUAGCUGUUGGGCAAUUCCAGGACACUACAUAGAAACCUGUCUUGGAGAAGAAAUGGUGAAAAGUGAUAUCCUCCCUUUGUUUUUCCUUCUACCCUUGCCAUCUUUAAGCAGUCACAACUGUCUUUUCCUGUGAUCUAGAAAUAACUAAAUUGCAAUGAAACAGAGGCAAAGAUGCACAGCCAAGCGCUGCCGAAGCCACACAAAAAGUUUGGUUUAAAACAGUGGCGUUUCUUAGUGAAGAAGGUGGUGCAUUUUAUGAAACACUGUUCCAUGACAGGCACCUCCUUUGAGGAACACCAUUAUGCAUUGUUAUCAGCAUGGUGUAAUUUGACUGUUGACAAAGUAUCUGUGGCAGUGAGAAUGAAAGCAGUUAGAAGUGUGUCGGAUUGUAAUCAAAAAGAUGCUUAGCUGUGCAACACUGCAUCUUGAGCAGAUUUGAAUCAACAUUGCCUUGAGGGGACAUGCACAUACAAAAAAAAAAGUCCAUUAAUUUUUAGUGAGAAAAUUAGAGUGGCACUUGAUGAAGUGAAAUUUGACAUGCGUUAAUUGCUCCACAGCUCUUCUAAUUAGAGAUUUUCAAAUUCUUUUACUCCUGUCAAAGUGAUGCCACAUUGUCUUAGUGGACAAAGAGUAAAACUGCAAAUUGGGUGGAUCAACAUGGAGGAAUAAGACUAGCUUGUGCUUUAUUUUGUUAACGUCAGUAUUUGAAUUUUGUGGCUCUGCUUACAAAAGUGAGGCAGGAAACUAACAGAGAAAAGAGCAUUUUGUUGCAACACUGUAUUAUAAUAAAACAACUUUCAGUUACUGUCUCAUCAAACCUGAAUGGAAAAGGAAAAAAUACAAUGUACUGAUUUUUGAACUACACAUUCUUAGCCUAAUUCAUGGCUUAGUAAAUAUGAAUUGCUGCUAUAUUGAACUUAACAGGGUUAAACCUGAUGUAAGUCCCAGUU